GUUGUAUGGUUAAGUGACUAAGCGUACACGGUGGAUGCCUUGGCAGUCAGAGGCGAUGAAAGACGUAGUAACUUGCGAUAAGCCCAGAUUAGGUAGUAACAACCAUUUGAGUCUGGGAUUUCUGAAUGGGGAAACCCACGUGCAUAAGCACGUAUCCUUACCUGAAUACAUAGGGUAAGGAGGCGAACCGGGGGAACUGAAACAUCUAAGUACCCCGAGGAAAAGAAAUCAACCGAGAUUCCGAAAGUAGCGGCGAGCGAAAUUGGACUAGCCCUUAAGCUUUACACGCGUUAGACGAACGGUCUGGAAAGUCCGACGAUACAGGGUGAUAGUCCCGUAGUUGACGACGUGUGUUCAGUGAAAUCGAGUAGGGCGGGACACGUGAUAUCCUGUCUGAAUAUGGGGGGACCAUCCUCCAAGGCUAAAUACUACUGACUGACCGAUAGUGAACCAGUACCGUGAGGGAAAGGCGAAAAGAACCCCUGUGAGGGGAGUGAAAUAGAACCUGAAACCGUGUACGUACAAGCAGUAGGAGCAGGCUUUGUCCUGUGACUGCGUACCUUUUGUAUAAUGGGUCAGCGACUUAUAUUCAGUGGCAAGGUUAACCAUCUAGGGGAGCCGUAGGGAAACCGAGUCUUAACUGGGCGUUCAGUCUCUGGAUAUAGACCCGAAACCAGGUGAUCUAGCCAUGGGCAGGUUGAAGGUUGAGUAACAUCAACUGGAGGACCGAACCGACUAAUGUUGAAAAAUUAGCGGAUGACUUGUGGCUAGGGGUGAAAGGCCAAUCAAACCUGGAGAUAGCUGGUUCUCCCCGAAAGCUAUUUAGGUAGCGCCUCGGACGAAUACUACUGGGGGUAGAGCACUGUUAAGGCUAGGGGGUCAUCCCGACUUACCAACCCUUUGCAAACUCCGAAUACCAGUAAGUACUAUCCGGGAGACACACGGCGGGUGCUAACGUCCGUCGUGGAGAGGGAAACAACCCAGACCGCCAGCUAAGGUCCCAAAUUACUACUAAGUGGGAAACGAUGUGGGAAGGCUCAGACAGCCAGGAUGUUGGCUUAGAAGCAGCCAUCAUUUAAAGAAAGCGUAAUAGCUCACUGGUCGAGUCGGCCUGCGCGGAAGAUGUAACGGGGCUAAGUAGUAAACCGAAGCUGCGGCAAUACUCUUUGAGUAUUGGGUAGGGGAGCGUUCUGUAAGCGGUUGAAGGUGUGUGGUAACGCAUGCUGGACGUAUCAGAAGUGCGAAUGCUGACAUGAGUAACGAUAAAGGGGGUGAAAAACCUCCUCGCCGGAAGACCAAGGGUUCCUGUCCAACGUUAAUCGGGGCAGGGUAAGUCGACCCCUAAGGCGAGGCCGAAAGGCGUAGUCGAUGGGAAACGGGUUAAUAUUCCCGUACUUCUUACAAUUGCGAUGGGGGGACGGAGAAGGCUAGGUGGGCCUGGCGACGGUUGUCCAGGUUCAAGUGCGUAGGCUU
This 1473-nucleotide ribosomal RNA is filed under the name Vibrio parahaemolyticus. Its description in RNAcentral is "bacterial LSU rRNA". It matches the Rfam family "Bacterial large subunit ribosomal RNA", at positions 1 to 1527 of the family's 2925-position model. Lineage: Bacteria; Pseudomonadati; Pseudomonadota; Gammaproteobacteria; Vibrionales; Vibrionaceae. The record is from RNAcentral.